GGAAAAGCCAAACCUAUCAAGAGAGGCAGAGAUACAGGUGGCAGGGAAGGCGCGCGCUUCCUCCUGGCGCCGCGAACAAAAUUCCUUGCUUCCCCGGCGGCAGCUCGAAUCGGAAUACCCAUUUGUCCAUCCUCGCAAGCACCCUUCCACCGCCUCUUCUUCCAAUGGCGUAUAAAUCGUGUCCGAGCCCAUCAGGCCACCGUGCCCCCCACCAUCACGUUUGUGGCGAUGGCGACGGCGACGGCCUCGAGGUCGAUGGUGGUGAGGCGGAGGCGGAACGCGCUGGCGCAGACGCUGGCGUCGCGGAGGCUUCCGGAGGGCGUGGCGGAGCCCGGGGAGCGGGUGCCCGAAGCCUUGGCCCCAGAGGUGAUGCCAUUCAUCCGCGCAGCCGACGAGGUCGAGCUGCUCAACUCGCGGGUCGCGUUCCUCUGUCGCAGAUAUGCCUACAAGAAAGUUCAAAGAAUGGAUCCAUCAUCCAUCCAACGUGGGGUUCGGCAGUUCAAAACAUACAUGUCACUUAAGCUAGAUCAGGAUGACACGCAAUUUCCUUUAAACGAUUCAAAGGAGAUCCAGCGAUUUUAUAAGUACUACUGUGAAAAUUUGAGCAGAACCUCUGAAAAACAGAACUUUGAGGAAUUGGCUAGAUAUUACCAAGUGGCGUCUGCUCUUUAUGAAGUGUUAAGAGAUGUAACAAACAACAAGGUUGAUUCUGAGGUGAUGAAACUUGCUAAAGUAGUAGAGGAAAAGAGUGCUCAUUUCAAGAGUUACAAGUACAACAUAGUCCCCCUCAAUUUUCCUGGUUCUGCAGAAGCAGUUGUGGAACUCCCGGAGAUAAAAAGUGCUAUAGAUGUAAUACGUAACAUAGACGGUCUUCCAAAGCUACACAUGUCUUCAAUGCAAAGGGAAGGAAAACCUAUCUGGGAUUUACUUGACUGGCUUUCGCUAGCAUUUGGAUUUCAGAAAUCGAAUGUGGAGAAUCAGAGAGAAAACAUGGUGUUACUGCUUGCAAAUAUUAGCACAAGGACCUCAGGACAGGAAGGACAUCCUUUGGUCGACGCUGUGAAUGAUUUGUGGGACAAAAUAUUUGGAAAUUAUGAAUCAUGGUGUCACUAUUUGCAUGUUAGUUCAAGAAUCAUGAUCAAAUAUGAUGACACAGAACUAAAGAAGCAGCAGCUAAUGCUUCUCCACAUUGGAUUGUACCUUCUUAUCUGGGGUGAGGCUUCAAAUGUCCGGUUUAUGCCUGAGUGCUUAUGCUACAUAUUCCAUCAUAUGGCAAAACAGUUGAAUCAAAUGGUUGAAGAAAGUUAUUUUCAACCACCACCUGGGUUUGAAGAGGAGGGAUCAUUCCUAAACAUUAUCAUUGAACCUAUCUAUAAGGUUCUGCAGAAGGAAUCACAAAGAAGUAAAGGUGGUACAGCUGGCCACUCAGCUUGGAGAAAUUAUGAUGACUUGAAUGAACAAUUCUGGUCAGAGAAAUGUUUUAUGAAGCUUGGCUGGCCAUGGGAUCUCAGUGCAGACUUCUUCCAUCAAGAGGUGAUGCUAAUAGUUUCAUGGAGUUCCUCUGGAUCUCUUUCUGGAAUUGCUGAUGCAACUGUAUUCAGAAGCGUUUUAAGUGUCUUUAUAACUGCCGCUCUACUCAACUUCAUAAAAGUGACUUUGGAUAUAUUGCUUACUUUCAAAGCAUGGGGAAAUAUGGAGUGGACACAAAUACUCAGAUACUUACUAAAAUUCUUUGUGGGUAUUGCUUGGAUAAUAAUUCUUCCAGUAACAUAUUCCAGUUCAAUUAAAAGCCCAUCUGGUGCUGGCAAACUCCUGAAUAGUUUGACACGGAAUUGGUACAACCAGUCAGUAUAUAAUUUUGCAAUCGUCAUUUAUAUGAUUCCGAACAUUUUGGCUGCCUUGCUUUUCUUGUUGCCACAACUUCAAAAUAUAAUGGAACGCUCAAAUUGGCGUGCAGUUAUUCUUCUUAUGUGGUGGAUUCAGCCAAGAUUGUAUGUUGCACGUGGUAUGCAUGAGGACAUAUUGUCCAUUUUUAAAUAUGUCUUCUUUUGGGUCGUGUUGCUCACCUCCAAGCUUGCAUUUAGUUUCUAUGUUGAGAUAUCCCCCAUGAUUGAACCGACGAAGUUCAUUCUUGAUCAAGUAGUUGGGAACUAUGAAUGGCAUGAAAUCUUCCCUUUCUUGCCGCACAAUCUCGGUGUUGUCAUUACUAUAUGGGCACCAAUUGUUUUGGUGUACUUUAUGGACACACAAAUAUGGUAUGCUAUUUUCUCCACUGUCUUUGGGGGUGUUUCGGGUGCCCUUAGUCAUGUCGGUGAGAUACGUACCCUAGGCAUGUUGAGAGUCAGAUUCAAAUCAAUGCCAGAUGCUUUCAGGAAAUGUCACGUGGCAGCACAUAAAGAGCAAGCACUUGAUGUGAGGAGCUUCUUUUGUGUUUGGAAUUCAUUCAUCAAUUCCUUACGAGAGGAAGACUUCAUUAGUGAUAGAGAGAAGGACAUGUUGAUGGCUCCAUCAUCUUCAAGUAAUUUACCUGUUGUUCCAUGGCCUCCUUUCCUCCUUGCUAGCAAGGUACCAACAGCUCUCCAUAUGGCCAUGAGUUCCAAAGAGGGGGAUGAACAUGAGCUGAUCGAAAAAAUCAAACUAGACAAGGACAGAUACAAUGCAGUUAUAGAAUGCUACGAGUCCUUGAAAAUAAUAGUUGUUUGUCUUCUGCUAGACUAUAAUGAUAAAAGAAUUGUCCAUGAUAUCGAUAAAAUAGUGCGAAAUAGUAUGCAAAAUAACACACUUUUGGACGACUUCGAGAUGGCAGAGAUUGGUAAAGUCAGCAACACAUUGGCAAAAUUAUUACAGCUACUGAAGAGCGAACCUACUGAUGAUACUACAGAGAGAAAAAUCGUUAAUGCAUUGCAAGAUUUUAUGGAAAUUACUACACGAGAUUUUAUGAAAGAUGGUCACGGCAUUUUGAAAGAUGAGAAUGAGAGAAAGCAGAGUUUCACGAAUCUAAAUAUGAACGUGACAAAGGAUGCAUUUUGGAGGGAGCAGUUUGUCCGGCUGCAUUUAUUGUUGACUAUGAAGGAUUCUGCAAUGGAUGUACCUACAAAUUUGGAUGCUCGACGUAGGAUCACCUUCUUCGCAAACUCACUUUUUAUGAAAAUGCCGAGAGCACCUCAAGUGCAUGAUAUGAUAUCCUUUAGUGUUUUGACUCCAUAUUACAAUGAGGAAGUACUUUAUUCAUCUCAUCAACUAAAUAGAAAGAAUGAAGACGGUAUCUCAAUUUUGUUUUAUCUACAAAAGAUUUAUCCAGAUGAAUGGAAGAACUUUCUACAACGCAUUGGAGUUGAUCCAGAUAACGAAGAGGAAGUAAAGGGAUGCAUGGAUGAUAUCCGUAUAUGGGCGUCUUACCGGGGUCAAACACUUGCCAGAACUGUGAGAGGGAUGAUGUACUAUAGACGAGCUCUUGAAGUGCAAUGCUAUGAGGAUAUGAAAAGUGAACAAGCUGAUUUGGGUGGAGACGAAUCUGCAAGGUCCAAGGCCAUUGCUGAUAUCAAAUUCACUUAUGUUGUUGCCUGUCAACUCUAUGGCAUGCAUAAGGCAUCCAAGGAUUCCCGGGAAAGGGGUCUGUAUGAGAACAUCUUAAAUCUGAUGCUAACGUAUCCAGCUUUGCGUAUUGCUUACAUUGAUGAGAAGGAAGUACCACUACCAAAUGGUAAAAUGAAGAAACAUUAUUACUCUGUUCUUGUGAAAGGUGACGAUGAGGAAAUUUACCGGAUAAAGCUGCCUGGUAAACCAACAGAAGUUGGAGAGGGGAAGCCUAAUAAUCAAAAUCAUGCCAUAAUCUUCACUAGAGGAGAAGCACUUCAAGCAAUUGACAUGAACCAGGAUAACUAUCUUGAAGAAGCAUUUAAAAUGAGAAAUUUGUUGGAAGAGUUCCUUAUUAAACAUGGAAAGUCCAAGCCAACAAUAUUGGGUGUUCGCGAGCAUAUCUUCACAGGAAGUGUUUCAUCACUUGCCUGGUUUAUGUCCAACCAAGAGACCAGCUUUGUUACUAUCGGCCAACGUGUUCUUGCAAACCCUCUUAAGGUACGAUUCCACUAUGGUCACCCUGAUGUUUUCGAUAGAAUCUUUCACAUCACAAGGGGUGGCAUAAGCAAGGCCUCAAAGGUUAUUAACCUCAGUGAGGACAUCUUUGCAGGAUUCAAUUCAACCCUGCGACAAGGAAAUGUUACCCAUCAUGAAUACAUACAGUUGGGUAAAGGACGUGAUGUUGGAAUGAACCAAAUAUCCAACUUUGAGGCCAAGGUGGCAAAUGGUAAUGGUGAACAAACUCUAUGUCGUGAUGUUUAUCGACUAGGACACAGAUUCGAUUUCUACAGGAUGUUGUCUAUGUACUUCACCACAGUUGGCUUCUACUUCAAUAGCAUGGUGGCUGUUCUUACGGUGUAUGUAUUUUUAUAUGGGCGGUUGUAUCUUGUUUUGAGUGGCUUAGAAAAGUCGAUUCUCCAAGAUCCACGGAUUAAAAACAUCAAACCCUUUGAAAAUGCACUUGCCACCCAAUCGGUAUUCCAACUUGGGACGUUGCUCAUCCUCCCGAUGAUAAUGGAGGUCGGCUUGGAGAAAGGGUUUGGUAAAGCCCUGGCUGAGUUUAUAAUCAUGCAACUUCAGUUAGCUCCUAUGUUCUUCACUUUUCAUCUCGGGACAAAGACUCACUACUAUGGAAGGACUAUACUUCAUGGUGGUGCAAAAUAUAGAGGAACAGGCCGGGGUUUUGUUGUACGCCAUGCAAAAUUUGCUGAGAAUUACAGAAUGUACUCACGGAGCCACUUUGUGAAAGCAUUGGAGCUGCUAAUCCUCUUGGUUGUUUAUCUAGCAUACGGGAGUUCUUACAGGAGCUCGAGUUUGUAUGUAUACGUCACAAUUUCGAUGUGGUUCCUUGUUUUCUGCUGGCUGUUUGCACCUUUUAUCUUCAACCCAUCAUGCUUUGAGUGGCACAAGACGGUUGACGACUGGACUGAUUGGUGGAAGUGGAUGAGCAAUAGGGGUGGUAUUGGGCUGGCACCUGAGCAAAGUUGGGAGGCUUGGUGGGUGAGUGAACAUGAGCACCUAAAGAAUGGAACAAUACGUAGCUUGCUCUUGGAGCUGGUUCUGUCGCUGCGCCUCCUGAUCUACCAAUAUGGUAUUGUGUACCACUUGCACAUAGUGCACGAGAACAAAAGCUUCAUGAUAUAUGCACUAUCGUGGCUGGUUAUUGGCAUCGUUCUUGUUUCGCUAAAGGUUGUUUCACUGGGGAGAGAGAAGUUUGUUACCAAGUUUCAGCUUGUGUUCCGUAUACUCAAGGGCAUUGUGUUUCUUGUCCUCAUCGGCUUGAUGGUGGUCUUAUUUGUUGGUUUUGAUCUCGCUGUGUCAGACGUUGGCGCCAGUGUCUUGGCCUUCAUCCCAACUGGCUGGUUUAUUCUUUUGAUGGCACAAGUGUGUGGACCGCUGUUUCGGAGGUUAGUGAUUGAGCCACUUGGCGUGCUGUGUUGCUCCUGCUGCCCUGGUGGAGCAUGCCGAGGGCCUUGCUGCGCCAAGUUGAGGCAGAGGAGUGGGGCUGUGCUCCGUAAGAUAGGGCCAUGGGACUCCAUCCAAGAGAUGGCAAGGAUGUACGAGUAUACCAUGGGGAUCCUCAUCUUCCUGCCCAUCGCCGUCCUCUCGUGGUUCCCCUUCAUGUCAGAGUUCCAGACGCGUCUGCUCUUCAACCAAGCCUUCAGCCGGGGCCUGCAGAUCUCGAGGAUCCUCGCUGGGCAGGACGGGAGGGGUACCAUUACCAAGCGUGAAUGACCUUGCUUGCUUGCAAACCACCCUGCUCUGUCUGUAGCGUGCAUAUUCACGGCGUUGUAUUAUAUUAUAUUGUUGAUUUGGAACUUUGGAAGGAUGCAUUGGAGCAAUAUCUGAUUUGUUCUCACCGUUGAACCAAAACUAAAAGAAAGCUACACAUUUGCUUUUCCAUUACACCUUUUCUUGGAGUUUACAAUUAAUCAUCUAAUAUUUCCCACUUACUAUGGAGAUAGUGCACUUUUUUUUAGAUAACUAGUAAUGCGUUGCAACGGGAGAA
Molecule: ribosomal RNA, 6088 nt
Filed under: Triticum aestivum (bread wheat)
Lineage: Eukaryota; Viridiplantae; Streptophyta; Magnoliopsida; Poales; Poaceae
Description: partial small subunit ribosomal RNA
Source: RNAcentral